Molecule: long non-coding RNA, 1138 nt
Filed under: Marmota monax (woodchuck)
Lineage: Eukaryota; Metazoa; Chordata; Mammalia; Rodentia; Sciuridae
Source: RNAcentral
GAGAGGGGAGGAGAAGGGGGAAAGGAGAAGAGAGGAGAAAGUGUGGGCUCUUCUUGGUUGGGAGGGGACCUCAGUAGUAAGAGGUCGGGAUACUCCACUAGGGCCUAGAACUUAGGACAGGGACACAGGGGGCCACCUGGCAUAGAUGCCUUGCUUUUGUCCCAGCAAAGUCAAACCUUUCUAUCCUGCUGUGAGAGAACAGUUAACAGGAGAAGGUGAGAGGGAAGGUGACUGUGACAAGAGACAGCCAUCCUAUCCGCUCUCUUCAGCUUUACACAAUUACCUUUCCCAGAUUCAAGUUUAUAAAGAUGGUGAAACCAGAAACAGGCAUGUGUUUUAUUAAUGUCAGGAGCUGUGUUCACCCCAUGUACCACUAUGGUUUGAGCAACCCACCAUGCCAGAGUGCAUCCAUAUUCUCAUUUAUGAGUUCUUGCAAUUCUCUGAUAUUGGUAUGGAUACACCUGUUUUGUAGGUAACGAAGCUGUGGUUCAGGGGGUUUAGGGGACAUGCUGAAGAUCUCACAUGAGCAAGCGUGAGAGCUAGGAUUUAGUUUCCUGGAUUCCCAAAUGCAUACUCUUCCCACUGUACCCUGGAGGACUUUCACCUUGGGAGUGGCAUUUUGGUGCAGUAUUUGUGUCGAGAACCCUUUCCCUUUGUUAUGGUAGUAUGCACCAAACCCUAUUAUUGUCAAGGAACAAGCAUUUGCAGGUCAUCUUAGGAAACAAGUAUUGUUAGCAAAGAUACACACUUUUCUAAGUCACCAAAUGGUGAAUUCCAACUCUGAUGUGGCAGUUUCAAAAUCGGAAGUUCUUGACCUCGGAUUGCAGUAUUGCCUCACAUCCGGAAGCAGUUUAUGGCGUGGAGUAGCUUAGAGUCAUCUGAACCAUUUCAUACAUGUUGUGUCAGUUGGCUGCAUUCUUACAACAGCCUGGGGGGCAGGUAAGGAAAUUACCAUCCUUAUUUUUCAGGUGAGUAAACACAGGCUCAGAUGCUCAAAAAGUAGCACUCAGUGAACAUGUAUUGGGUGAAUGACUGUACCCACUCCAUGAUGUGGAGACCUAGUCAUUGGUCCAUGAUCAUCCAUUUUCUGACUUGGUUACCAGCCUUGGAGCCCCCAUCUCUGUAUACUGUAUUGUCC